AGCAUGUGGUUUAAUUCGACGCAACGCGAAGAACCUUACCUGGGUUUGACAUCCCGAUCGUACUCUAUGGAAACAUAGGGGUCAGUUCGGCUGGAUCGGUGACAGGUGCUGCAUGGCUGUUGUCAGCUCGUGUCGUGAGAUGUUGGGUUAAGUCCCGCAACGAGCGCAACCCUUGUCUUUAGUUGCCAUCAUUAAGUUGGGCACUCUAGAGAGACUGCCGGUGUCAAACCGGAGGAAGGUGGGGAUGACGUCAAGUCCUCAUGGCCUUUAUGACCAGGGCUACACACGUACUACAAUGGCAGGUACAAAGGGCAGCCACUUAGCGAUAAGGCGCGAAUCCCGUAAAACCUGUCUCAGUCCGGAUUGGAGUCUGCAACUCGACUCCAUGAAGUUGGAAUCGCUAGUAAUCGCGGAUCAGCACGCCGCGGUCGAAUACGUUCCCGGGCCUU
RNAcentral lists this ribosomal RNA (449 nucleotides) under uncultured Desulfuromusa sp. RNAcentral's name for it is "bacterial SSU rRNA". It matches the Rfam family "Bacterial small subunit ribosomal RNA", at positions 936 to 1382 of the family's 1533-position model. Lineage: Bacteria; Pseudomonadati; Thermodesulfobacteriota; Desulfuromonadia; Desulfuromonadales; Geopsychrobacteraceae. The record is from RNAcentral.